Long non-coding RNA from Hyla sarda, 645 nucleotides. RefSeq lists it as uncharacterized. The transcript is spliced from 3 exons. The record is from RefSeq and is a predicted model, not a curated record. Lineage: Eukaryota; Metazoa; Chordata; Amphibia; Anura; Hylidae.
ACUUACAGGACCUGCCGCUGACGUCUCGGUGCAGAUACCACAAAUACCCUUGAGAGGACUAGUGAAGGCAGCGUCUCGAUGGCUACAAUGGUCCUGCACAAUAUCAGGCAGGCGGUUUUAUUGCUUUAGCUGAUCGGUGUGUGUAACUAAUAUCAGCCGCUCCCGUUGUAUCGCUGCCGCGGUUAUAUAAGCGUCUUAAGAGUAUUAGCCAUUAGCAAUUCAUCGUUUUCCCAAAGAAGAUGACACAGAUCACAGGCGGACUGCUCUUUACACGGCUACGUCAAACUUUGUGAGAAAGUGAAAAUCUGGAGCCGUACUGCGACAUUUGUUCAUGGGAGAUGCAGAAAAAAAAACAUUCAUAGGUUUCCUAGUUUCCCAUAGAAUAGGCGACUUACAAAGGAAUCACCGACUAAAUGGCGAGCCUACAAGACGACUAUUAUUCCGAGCGUUGGGUCGCAGCAUGCUGCAAAGAGAAGGAGCUGAAUGAAUUUCUAUAGAGGCUCCAAAGUUUCAGACUCACCUGGAAAUCAAUUUUUCGAGGGGCUAACAAACAGGAUAAUUUCUAGGCUUCGUGUCAAGAGCAUAAAGAACCCAGCAUGCCUCCCAACAAACCCACAAAAGACAGCAUAAACAGUAUGAAAAGAA